RNAcentral lists this long non-coding RNA (446 nucleotides) under Cricetulus griseus (Chinese hamster). Its description in RNAcentral is "lncRNA (ENSCGRG00015039135.1)". Lineage: Eukaryota; Metazoa; Chordata; Mammalia; Rodentia; Cricetidae. The record is from RNAcentral.
GUUUCUUAUCUGUUGUUACCCUCUUCAGUGCUUCAUCCUGUUCUAAUGUCUAGAAGCUUCUUGAACAACCUUUUGCUGUGUUUAAAGCAAUUGCUGCGGAGUAAACACUGAAGACUACUGAGAGUCACUCUCAGAUGAGCCAAGCUGCAAGAAAGACUCUCAAAGGAGUUCAACUGCCUGGAAGAAACCAGCCAAGCAACCUGAAAGCAGCAGAAAUGAGCCUGGCUGCCUGGAUGAGCUUUAGACCAACUGAGGCACAUGGAAGGGACACUCUCCAACCCAUUGAGCUGCCUGCAGGCUGUUCAGUAUGCUCCAGAUUCCCAGCUUUUGUGAGCUGUCACCCAUGCUGUGGUGGGCUUUGGUGAGGCAGCUGCUACUGUAUGUAAACCCCCACCCAUAUUCAUGUAAGUAACCCCAAUAAAACUCACAAAUUCACUAAGUUGGAC